Molecule: ribosomal RNA, 912 nt
Filed under: Bacillus pumilus
Lineage: Bacteria; Bacillati; Bacillota; Bacilli; Caryophanales; Bacillaceae
Description: bacterial SSU rRNA
Rfam family: Bacterial small subunit ribosomal RNA
Source: RNAcentral
CGCCGCGUGAGUGAUGAAGGUUUUCGGAUCGUAAAGCUCUGUUGUUAGGGAAGAACAAGUGCAAGAGUAACUGCUUGCACCUUGACGGUACCUAACCAGAAAGCCACGGCUAACUACGUGCCAGCAGCCGCGGUAAUACGUAGGUGGCAAGCGUUGUCCGGAAUUAUUGGGCGUAAAGGGCUCGCAGGCGGUUUCUUAAGUCUGAUGUGAAAGCCCCCGGCUCAACCGGGGAGGGUCAUUGGAAACUGGGAAACUUGAGUGCAGAAGAGGAGAGUGGAAUUCCACGUGUAGCGGUGAAAUGCGUAGAGAUGUGGAGGAACACCAGUGGCGAAGGCGACUCUCUGGUCUGUAACUGACGCUGAGGAGCGAAAGCGUGGGGAGCGAACAGGAUUAGAUACCCUGGUAGUCCACGCCGUAAACGAUGAGUGCUAAGUGUUAGGGGGUUUCCGCCCCUUAGUGCUGCAGCUAACGCAUUAAGCACUCCGCCUGGGGAGUACGGUCGCAAGACUGAAACUCAAAGGAAUUGACGGGGGCCCGCACAAGCGGUGGAGCAUGUGGUUUAAUUCGAAGCAACGCGAAGAACCUUACCAGGUCUUGACAUCCUCUGACAACCCUAGAGAUAGGGCUUUCCCUUCGGGGACAGAGUGACAGGUGGUGCAUGGUUGUCGUCAGCUCGUGUCGUGAGAUGUUGGGUUAAGUCCCGCAACGAGCGCAACCCUUGAUCUUAGUUGCCAGCAUUUAGUUGGGCACUCUAAGGUGACUGCCGGUGACAAACCGGAGGAAGGUGGGGAUGACGUCAAAUCAUCAUGCCCCUUAUGACCUGGGCUACACACGUGCUACAAUGGACAGAACAAAGGGCUGCGAGACCGCAAGGUUUAGCCAAUCCCACAAAUCUGUUCUCAGUUCGGAUCG